RNAcentral lists this long non-coding RNA (293 nucleotides) under Solanum tuberosum (potato). Its description in RNAcentral is "long non-coding RNA (STUB_LNC008530)". Lineage: Eukaryota; Viridiplantae; Streptophyta; Magnoliopsida; Solanales; Solanaceae. The record is from RNAcentral.
AAACCCAGAACGAGCAGCAGCACGCUUCAGCAACCAGGCACACAAAAAUUGUCCUAGCAUCGUGAGAUGAUGCCACGUUGCGCCCCAAGGACGGGAGAUCGAUCACUAGCGUUGAUUCGCCCUUUCCUCUUCCGGAAUGGGUGAAAUUGCAGAGAAAAGGUUGCCUCCCCUUAUUUGUGAAAGAUUUUCGAAUUUCGAAUUGGUCCCUUGUCUAUCCAUCUUUCCAAUCCGUUUCCCUCCGACUUGGAACCCUAAUACCCUUCUAUAAAUAUUCUUGUUCUUUCCAAUAUUAA